AGAGUUUGAUCAUGGCUCAGGAAGAACGCUGGCGGCGUGCCUAAUACAUGCAAGUCGAGCGGCAGCACGGUCUUCGGACUGGUGGCGAGCGGCGGACGGCUGAGUAACGCGUAGGAAUAUACCCAAGUGAGGGAUAACUGCCCGAAAGGGUGGCUAAUACCGCAUGUGGUCUUCGGGACUAAAGGCCCUUCGGGGCGCUUUGGGAAUAGCCUGCGUAAGAUUAGCUAGUUGGUGAGGUAAUGGGCUCACCAAGGCGACGAUCUUUAGCUGGUCUGAGAGGAUGACCAGCCAGACUGGAACUGAGACACGGUCCAGACUCCUACGGGAGGCAGCAGUAGGGAAUUUUCCACAAUGGGCGAAAGCCUGAUGGAGCAACGCCGCGUGCAGGAUGAAGGCCCUCGGGUCGUAAACUGCUUUUAUGUGCGAAGAAUAUGACGGUAACACAUGAAUAAGGGUCGGCUAACUACGUG
Molecule: ribosomal RNA, 470 nt
Filed under: uncultured bacterium
Lineage: Bacteria
Description: bacterial SSU rRNA
Rfam family: Bacterial small subunit ribosomal RNA
Source: RNAcentral